RNAcentral lists this ribosomal RNA (434 nucleotides) under uncultured bacterium. RNAcentral describes it as "partial 16S ribosomal RNA". It matches the Rfam family "Bacterial small subunit ribosomal RNA", at positions 29 to 507 of the family's 1533-position model. The record is from RNAcentral.
AGCGAACGCUGGCGGCAGGCCUAACACAUGCAAGUCGAACGAACCUUUCGGGGUUAGUGGCGGACGGGUGAGUAACACGUGGGAACGUGCCUUUAGGUUCGGAAUAACUCAGGGAAACUUGUGCUAAUACCGAAUGUGCCCUUCGGGGGAAAGAUUAAUCGCCUUUAGAGCGGCCCGCGUCUGAUUAGCUAGUUGGUUGAGGUAAUGGCCCACCAAGGCGACGAUCAGUAGCUGGUCUGAGAGGAUGAUCAGCCACAUUGGGACUGAGACACGGCCCAAACUCCUACGGGAGGCAGCAGUGGGGAAUCUUGCGCAAUGGGCGAAAGCCUGACGCAGCCAUGCCGCGUGAAUGAUGAAGGUCUUAGGAUUGUAAAAUUCUUUCACCGGAGACGAUAAUGACGGUACCCGGAGAAGAAGCCCCGGCUAACUUCGUG